UGUGAGUUUUCGAAUUCUGGAUUUCAGAAUCAAAAUCCAGAAGCACAAGCACAAUUGGAUCUUUAACACGCCUGCUGAUGCUGAUGCUGUGGGCUUCACGAUUACCAUCAGAUAAUUAAGCAUCCAAUGAAUCUCGGAAUGGUGAAAUCCAAUUUCGCAAAGAAUUUGUACGCCUCGCCAUCUGAUUUUGCUGCGGAUGUGAGAUUGACCUUUAACAAUGCCAUCUCUUGGCUCGAUUUGAGGACUUGUUUCGACCCAUAAACAAGAAGUUUGAUGAUGGUGAUCAUAAAGAACAGAUUGUUCCUGCUGAUGAAUUACAGGGGAGUUCAUGGAAUCACACUCCAACUCCAGAAAGAGCAAAGAAGCCUAAAGCAUAGGUGCACAGAAAGUCGAAAAUGCCUGCAUUGCCUUUCGCAACUUCUGUGAGGAACAGAACAUCAUUGAUUAUGGGUUUGGGGCGCUGUGGCGGUGGUUGGGUGUGGUGCGCCAUGGUGGUGGUUGCUGGCUGUAGCGGUGGAGAAGAUUAUAAAAGAGAGGGAAGGAAUACGUAGAUCUGGAGAUGGACGAGGACAAUCAGUACAGGGGGUCCUUCAAACCUGUUGGCAAAAUAGGGAAGAAUUUAAUAAAGAAAUUUAAGAUGGGUAAAGGGAAGCGUCGUCGUGGCAAGGGCAAGAUCAGGAGGAAGCACAUUUAACUGUGUAUAACUGGUAAUGGUAAUGAAUUUUCCUUUGCACAACUGGCAAUGGUAUCGCUGCCUUCAAUGUUGCAUUGUCUGCAAUGUUCUACAUUGUGAGAGCAGCGGUUUUAUUGAUUAUGAUAUUAGCAUUUUUUUCUUUUAAAAUUUCCUUGUUCUUUAAAUAUUUGAGAUGUUACUACUGAAACAAGAGUUGUCACUACCACCAAAUGCUAAUUAAUAGACUAGUAGAAACUUGUUUAUUUGAAUUUUCUGAUCCCAGCUUAUUGAUUGCU
Long non-coding RNA from Cornus florida, 969 nucleotides. RefSeq lists it as uncharacterized. The record is from RefSeq and is a predicted model, not a curated record. NCBI's taxonomy places the organism in Eukaryota, Viridiplantae, Streptophyta, Magnoliopsida, Cornales, Cornaceae. The transcript is spliced from 3 exons.